AGCCCAGAGUCUGAAUCAGCAUGUGUGUUAGUGGAACGGUCUGGAAAGUCCGACGGUACAGGGUGAUAGUCCCGUACACAAAAAUGCAUGUGCUGUGAACUCGAUGAGUAGGGCGGGACACGUGGUAUCCUGUCUGAAUAUGGGGGGACCAUCCUCCAAGGCUAAAUACUCCUGACUGACCGAUAGUGAACCAGUACCGUGAGGGAAAGGCGAAAAGAACCCCGGCGAGGGGAGUGAAAAAGAACCUGAAACCGUGUACGUACAAGCAGUGGGAGCCCCACCACUAAGCCAGUGGUGAACUCCACAUACGCAUCCUUUGCUGAAGGUGCGGUUAACGGAGCGAAAGCGACGUUCAACCUCAAAAGAAGCAGAGGGGGCUUAGUGGUGGGGUGACUGCGUACCUUUUGUAUAAUGGGUCAGCGACUUAUAUUCUGUAGCAAGGUUAACCG
RNAcentral lists this ribosomal RNA (449 nucleotides) under Salmonella enterica subsp. salamae serovar 48:d:z6. RNAcentral describes it as "partial 23S ribosomal RNA". It matches the Rfam family "Bacterial large subunit ribosomal RNA", at positions 296 to 652 of the family's 2925-position model. The record is from RNAcentral. Lineage: Bacteria; Pseudomonadati; Pseudomonadota; Gammaproteobacteria; Enterobacterales; Enterobacteriaceae.